CUCCUUCUUCAAUGCGCCCGCAUUCAAGCCGUUUCCAGCAGCGACAACAUGCGACAUCGACGGCAAGGCUGCAUGGCUCCUUCCAACGUUUUUUGACGCAAGGAGCAAGAGUUACGGGUUCGCGACGUCGACGGAACCAGCCUCUAUAAUGAAGGCAUUGCAGGACAGACUUGCCAGUGGGCACGGCGAAAACGCUGGGAGCAGAUCACCGACCAUGCGUCUCGUUUUUCUUGUUCAGGUGAACCACUCUCAAGGACUCGCCCCACAGCCUUGUCAAAAGCAGCCUGGCGAAGACUGCUGAAUAACUCUCCACGGCGCUUCACCGCAACCUGCAGUGUACGGCUACGUGACCGCGAAUAACAUUCGGCAAGGAAUAAAAUUCAACCGGUUUUGCGUUCUCAGGCUCA
This is a long non-coding RNA of Rhipicephalus microplus (southern cattle tick), 407 nucleotides long. NCBI's taxonomy places the organism in Eukaryota, Metazoa, Arthropoda, Arachnida, Ixodida, Ixodidae. The record is from RefSeq and is a predicted model, not a curated record.